GAUUUCUGGUACGGCGCACUUGGCCCGCUUCGGUUACGGAGUUGAGUGCCGGUGUGCGCCUGCCAUCCUUCCGGGAUACGACUCUCCCUUCACUGGGUUGGGCCGGAAUCCGGAUCAUUUACUUUGAAAAAAUUAGAGUGUUUAAAGCAGGCUUACGCUAUGAAUACAUUAGCAUGGAAUAAUAAUCUAGGACUUUCGGUUCUAUUUUGUUGGUGUUCUGGAGCUGAAGUAAUGAUUGAUAGGGAUAGUUGGGGGUGCUAGUAUUCAAUGGCCAGAGGUGAAAUUCUCGGAUUCCUUGAAGACUAACUUAUGCGAAAGCAUU
RNAcentral lists this ribosomal RNA (322 nucleotides) under Cercomonas sp. RNAcentral describes it as "SSU rRNA". The stretch from base 104 to 322 matches the Rfam family "Eukaryotic small subunit ribosomal RNA", at positions 737 to 955 of the family's 1831-position model. Lineage: Eukaryota; Cercozoa; Cercomonadida; Cercomonadidae. The record is from RNAcentral.